ACACUGCGCUAUUAAACAAGA
This 21-nucleotide unclassified non-coding RNA is filed under the name Dictyostelium discoideum. The record is from RNAcentral. Lineage: Eukaryota; Evosea; Eumycetozoa; Dictyosteliales; Dictyosteliaceae.